UACAGAGGUCUCAAGCGUUGUUCGGAAUCACUGGGCGUAAAGGGUGCGUAGGUGGCGGGGGAAGUCAGAUGUGAAAUCCGGAGGCUCAACCUCCGAAUUGCAUCCGAUACUCCCUCGCUAGAGGGUUGUAGGGGAGCUUGGAAUUCUCGGUGUAGCAGUGAAAUGCGUAGAUAUCGAGAAGAACGCUCGCAGCGAAGGCGAAGCUCUGGGCAACAUCUGACACUGAUGCACGAAGGCUAGGGGAGCAAACGGG
Molecule: ribosomal RNA, 253 nt
Filed under: uncultured bacterium
Lineage: Bacteria
Description: partial 16S ribosomal RNA
Rfam family: Bacterial small subunit ribosomal RNA
Source: RNAcentral